UAUGUAGGGUGCAAGCGUUGUCCGGAAUUAUUGGGCGUAAAGAGCUUGUAGGCGGUUUGUCGCGUCUGCUGUGAAAUUUCGGGGCUCAACCCCGAACUUGCAGUGGGUACGGGCAGACUAGAGUGUGGUAGGGGAGACUGGAAUUCCUGGUGUAGCGGUGAAAUGCGCAGAUAUCAGGAGGAACACCGAUGGCGAAGGCAGGUCUCUGGGCCACUACUGACGCUGAGAAGCGAAAGCAUGGGGAGCGAACAGG
RNAcentral lists this ribosomal RNA (253 nucleotides) under uncultured bacterium. RNAcentral describes it as "partial 16S ribosomal RNA". It matches the Rfam family "Bacterial small subunit ribosomal RNA", at positions 524 to 776 of the family's 1533-position model. The record is from RNAcentral.